ACGUAGGUGGCAAGCGUUGUCCGGAAUUAUUGGGCGUAAAGAGCAUGUAGGUGGGCUUUUAAGUCCGAUGUGAAAAUGCGGGGCUCAACCCCGUAUGGCAUUUGAUACUGGAAGUCUUGAGUGCUGGAAAGGAAAGGGGAAUUCCCAGUGUAGCGGUGAAAUGCUUAGAUAUUGGGAAGAACACCAAUGGCGAAGGCGGCUUUCUGGACUGUAUCUGACGCUGAGAUGCGAAAGCUAGGGUAUCAAACAG
RNAcentral lists this ribosomal RNA (250 nucleotides) under uncultured prokaryote. RNAcentral describes it as "partial 16S rRNA". It matches the Rfam family "Bacterial small subunit ribosomal RNA", at positions 525 to 775 of the family's 1533-position model. The record is from RNAcentral.